CGCCCGUCGCUCCUACCGAUUGGGUAUGCUGGUGAAGUGUUCGGAUUGGCGACCGGGGGCGGUUUCCGCCCUCGGCCGCCGAGAAGUUCAUUAAACCCUCUCACCUAGAGGAAGGAGAAGUCGUAACAAGGUUUCC
RNAcentral lists this ribosomal RNA (136 nucleotides) under uncultured Trebouxiophyceae. Its description in RNAcentral is "partial small subunit ribosomal RNA". It matches the Rfam family "Eukaryotic small subunit ribosomal RNA", at positions 1670 to 1804 of the family's 1831-position model. Lineage: Eukaryota; Viridiplantae; Chlorophyta; Trebouxiophyceae. The record is from RNAcentral.